UUGGUGCUUGCACCAGAUGACGAGUGGCGCACGGGUGCGUAACGCGUAUGCAACCUACCUUUUACUAGAGUAUAGCCCAGAGAAAUUUGGAUUAAUCCUCUAUAAUAUCUUUUAAUUUCAUGAUUAAUUGAUUAAAGUUUUAACGGUAAAAGAUGGGCAUGCGUCCUAUUAGUUUGUAGGUGAGGUAACGGCUCACCUAGACUACGAUAGGUAGGGGCCCUGAGAGGGGGAUCCCCCACACUGGUACUGAGACACGGACCAGACUCCUACGGGAGGCAGCAGUAAGGAAUAUUGGACAAUGGACGAAAGUCUGAUCCAGCCAUGCCGCGUGCAGGAUGAAAGCCCUAUGGGUUGUAAACUGCUUUUAUACAGGAAGAAACACUCCGACUUGUCGGAGCUUGACGGUACUGUAAGAAUAAGGAUCGGCUAACUCCGUGCCAGCAGCCGCGGUAAUACGGAGGAUCCAAGCGUUAUCCGGAAUCAUUGGGUUUAAAGGGUCCGC
This 502-nucleotide ribosomal RNA is filed under the name uncultured Bacteroidota bacterium. RNAcentral's name for it is "bacterial SSU rRNA". It matches the Rfam family "Bacterial small subunit ribosomal RNA", at positions 73 to 572 of the family's 1533-position model. The record is from RNAcentral. Lineage: Bacteria; Pseudomonadati; Bacteroidota.